CAACACGCUCUGGGCAGUCAGAGGGCACGGAGGCACCGACAGGAUGACAGCCUCACACUGGUCUUUUUUCACCCUGCAGGAAAAUAUUCGACCUAGAAACCCUGGAUAAUAUACUGUCGCGAAGACAAGCACCAUCUGUCUUAUUGCCACGACUGGACCAUCGGCCGUUGUCCAUGCAGGCGCUGCUCGAAACGAAUGCCACCUCCAUCGUUCGCCGGCCCACGAGGCUGUGAAAACACUUCUGUUCCUUGAGGGCGGCUUGCCUUUGUGAACUCCUCUGGCCUGGUGGUGCCCUCCGCAUGCGUGUGCAAACUCACCGCAUCAUUCUUUCCGCUCUUUCUCGCUAUCUCUCAUUUUCAUAUUCCCCUUUCCCGUCCCACAGUGUAGGUUAUCCAACCAUACGCAUUUCUGGUAAAAUCCCUGCCGUCUCCCUGUCCUUCCUCUUUCGCCUUCUCCCCUACGAACCAGUUUCUGUUUCUUUUCACAGUAUGAAUGAAUGAAGGAAGGAACUUUAUUCCCUUUUUAAGAGAGGGGAGGAGCCGGUGGGGGGGGGGGUAAGAGAGGGAGGUCUAAGUACUCCAGUCCCAGCAGGCGUCCGUCACCACAUUAUGUGGCUAGCCAGACAUCGCGGCAUUUCGACUAUCGAGCAAGCUGAGCGAGCUCCGAAACCUCGUGAGGUGCUGCUCCCACGAGACCAAUUUCGGUGUCGUGACGUCACGGCACCUACAGCUCCGGAAAUGCGGAACAUCGUGAUAGAAUAGCUAGUGCAGUAAAUUAUAUUGCACGCUCUAAUGCUUGCUCGUAUUUUUCAUCGUUCCUAUGCCGACGAACUUCAUUCAAUUCAAAAAGUGAAAAGUCGGAAAUGUCAGAUUUUUUUAAAGGACAAAAACUCCUGACUUUCACGAGGAGAAUAUAGACAAGGUGGGCGCUUUUGUUGUUUCAGCGGGCAAUGUUCUAGACAGAGAUUUUCUUGCACUUGAAAGACAAUGUCCUCAAGUGGUGAAAACUUAUUUCUUGCUCAUUGGCAAGCAACCAAGCCUCAUGUGUAAAUGACCACGUAUA
Non-coding RNA from Dermacentor albipictus, 1062 nucleotides. NCBI's taxonomy places the organism in Eukaryota, Metazoa, Arthropoda, Arachnida, Ixodida, Ixodidae. The record is from RefSeq and is a predicted model, not a curated record.